Molecule: ribosomal RNA, 211 nt
Filed under: uncultured bacterium
Lineage: Bacteria
Description: partial 16S ribosomal RNA
Rfam family: Bacterial small subunit ribosomal RNA
Source: RNAcentral
GCCCGCCGCGCGCGGCGGGCGGGGCGGGGGCACGGGGGGCCCCAUACGGGAGGCAGCAGUGGGGAAUAUUGCACAAUGGGCGCAAGCCUGAUGCAGCCAUGCCGCGUGUAUGAAGAAGGCCUUCGGGUUGUAAAGUACUUUCAGCGGGGAGGAAGGGAGUAAAGUUAAUACCUUGCUCAUGACGUACCCGCAGAAGAGAAACGUUUGCCGC